ACGGGGUGCAGCAGGCGCGAAACCUCCACAAUGUACGAAAGUGCGAUGGGGGAAUCCCAAGUGUUAUUCUUAACAGAAUAGCUUUUCAUUAGUGUAAAAAGCUUUUAGAAUAAGAGCUGGGCAAGACAGGUGCCAGCCGCCGCGGUAACACCGGCAGCUCGAGUGGUAGCUGUUUUUAUUGGGCCUAAAGCGUCCGUAGCCGGUUUGAUUAGUCUUUGGUGAAAGCUUGUAGCUUAACUAUAAGAAUUGCUGGAGAUACUAUCAGACUUGAAGUCGGGAGAGGUUAGAGGUACUACCGGGGUAGGGGUGAAAUCCUAUAAUCCUGGGAGGACCACCUGUGGCGAAAGCGUCUAACUAGAACGAUCUUGACGGUGAGUAACGAAAGCCAGGGGCGCGAACCGGAUUAGAUACCCGGGUAGUCCUAGCUGUAAACGAUGCGGACUUGGUGUUGGGGUGGCUUUGAGCUGUCCCAGUGCCGAAGGGAAGCUGUUAAGUCCGCCGCCUGGGGAGU
Molecule: ribosomal RNA, 511 nt
Filed under: uncultured archaeon
Lineage: Archaea
Description: bacterial SSU rRNA
Rfam family: Archaeal small subunit ribosomal RNA
Source: RNAcentral